UACGUAGGGACCGAGCGUUGUCCGGAAUCAUUGGGCGUAAAGAGCGUGUAGGCGGCCUGGUUAAGUCUUGCGUGAAAUCUCGGGGCCUCAACCCCGAGCGGUCGUGAGAAACGUGGCAGGCUAGAGUGCGGGAGAGGAGAGUGGAAUUCCUGGUGUAGCGGUGAAAUGCGCAGAGUAUCAGGAGAACACCCGUGGCGAAGGCGGCUCUCGUGGAACGCAACCUGGACGCUGAGACGCGAAAGCGUGGGGAGCAAACAGG
RNAcentral lists this ribosomal RNA (259 nucleotides) under uncultured bacterium. Its description in RNAcentral is "partial 16S ribosomal RNA". It matches the Rfam family "Bacterial small subunit ribosomal RNA", at positions 524 to 776 of the family's 1533-position model. The record is from RNAcentral.